CGAGCAUSAUUCCUGGCGUCAGAUGAGUGACGUCUGGCGGCAUGUGAGGUACACAUGCAAGUCGCACGACGGUAUCGGCCUUAGUGGCGGACGAGGCGAGUAAUCGAAUUAGGCAUCUAUCCAUGUGGAUGGGGGAUAACUGAGGGAAAAGAUGGCUAAUGGACGCAUGAUGCACCUGAGGGUCCAAAGUGCGCUAGUAGCUAGAGGAGGAGCUCAAUGCGGCUGAUCUAGCUUCCAAUGAUGGGUUAAUGACCUUGUACAAGGUGAUGUAUCCCAGGACAUUAGGGUCAUGAUGACUUGAGGUCAUCACCACCUUCCUUGGGGAGGUCAGCAGUAGGCAAUCUCUCUACGGGAGGCAACAGUGGGGAAUAUGCUGGACUGUAAAUAUGGGGGCAGAACUGAAUCCAUCAAUUACUCGAAUGUCUGAAGAAGAAAUCGGACAUUAGCGAGUAGCCGUCAGGUUGAUCCGGUAGGCCCGUAGCAAGAAGCCGGGUUAUUUCUGUCCAGCAGCCGAUCGGUACACCUCCUGAGAGGGGUCAAAGCGUUGCGGGAAUAUUUGGGCGUAAAGGACCGCCGCUAGCGCGGUUCUGUCGACAAUUCAGAUGUGAAAUCUUUUGCGGUCUUAAUCCUGAGGAGUUGCUCGGGAUACGGGCAUGCUUAGAGCAGAGAGAGGCAGGUGAGAAUUCCACAGUGUAGAGGUGAAAUUGGUAAAUUAUGGGAAGACCCCCGGUGGGGAAGGGGGCAUCUGGUUCUCAUACCUGCCGUUGCAGGCGCGAAAUAUGGGGGAGCAACCAGGAUUAGAUACCUGGUUAGUCCUCGCGGUAAUCCAAAUAGUGUUAGAUGGUAGUUAUUUACCUAUUCAGUGUCGC
This 869-nucleotide ribosomal RNA is filed under the name Enterococcus faecium. Its description in RNAcentral is "partial 16S ribosomal RNA". The record is from RNAcentral. Lineage: Bacteria; Bacillati; Bacillota; Bacilli; Lactobacillales; Enterococcaceae.